Branchiostoma belcheri (Belcher's lancelet) is the source of this 2146-nucleotide long non-coding RNA. RefSeq lists it as uncharacterized. The transcript is spliced from 2 exons. The record is from RefSeq and is a predicted model, not a curated record. NCBI's taxonomy places the organism in Eukaryota, Metazoa, Chordata, Leptocardii, Amphioxiformes, Branchiostomatidae.
UUCAUUAUUAUCAUCAGUGUAUCAGUCAGUGUACAUGUACAUGUGUAUAUGUCCGUUUUAGUACGAGGGUCGUUUUGUUUGAAGCCGUUUUGUUCUGAAUAACGUUCGCCUGAAAUCUGAAUCUCUCCCUGGUUGACUAGUAUUCUCCAGGAUCUCUUUGAUUUUGUCACUUGGAUGUAUUAACAUGCUUUUUCGAUGUCUCGUCAUCCCACAUUAUUCGGUCUUGUGGCGUGGUUUUAUUUGUAUGGUGCAGUGCAAAUUAUUUCGUUGUCUCCGUUUUGAUGCAUAAAUUGUCAUUCUGGUUCUCUAUGGUCGAACAUUCCCUCUCUUUUUUAGACUCUCAAUUCUUGUAUUUUCUUGCAAAAUAAUGUGCUUGUUGUAAUUUAUGUUACGAAUACGAGUUUCCAAUAAACUUUGCAAUUUAUAAGUAUCCAUUGAGUCUGUCCAGCUCAGCUGAGAACGGAGAUAGGGUCAUCAUAGGUGUUACCCGUGCCCACGUUAGCAAUGAUAGAGAACUGUGUGUACAUGUGUUGUGUUUUUUAUAAAAUUAAAAUUGUACUGUCAAAUUAUUCUCCCUUUUUGGGUAAAUUUUACUUGUUAGUCUUGUGGAGACUGUGAAGCUGUGUCGCCAGUGAGUCCCACGUAUAUAGUGUUACACGUUACAGCAGUUGCCACCUGCAUCUGCACGGUUGAGUGACAGCUAGGUUCAAACACUGACACAUAGGGCCAGUCUUUCUGACCUAUGGAGUUAAUAGCUUGACUUAAAGAAUGCGUGACAAAUUGGAGAUGACCUAACAUGUCAGAUGGGUAAUUAAUCUUCAGUUGUUUUAGCCUAUUUUGGGCGGGCUGAUUCAAGUCAAGUAUGAAAUGUUCAUAAUUGCACAAUGAUUGCAUCAGGUACAUUAUAUGUCAAAUAGCAUGAAUUAGACAUGCGAUGUAAUCUUAGCCAAUGCUUCGUCAUUCAUAAUCAUCUGAGAGACUUUCAUUAAUGUCAAAAUACAAUUUUUUUGACGUUCACGACAAACACCCUCAAAUAAACAAACAAUACAAUAAACCCUCGUAUUUCUUCUGCAGGCUGUGAUCUUCCCCACCAACCUCUGCUUGGAGAGCACAGAUCGUUCACGUCAAGCCGCCGCCGGACGCACCCUCAUCCGGUCCCGGUAGAGCUGUGGGCAGGGGCCAGGAAGUGAACCUGCGCAGUGUGCCUGUGUACAUACAGCGACCCUCGGCCAAGAAUGGUCAUAACGGGGCACACGACAGCCAACGGGCACCGUCUCUUCCGUUCCUGACCCGGGGAAGCUGACCACUGAUGGACCUGACAUGUCAGCCACCCAUCCAUCUGGCCAGGGAUGUACUUCCCCGGGCACUUUCUCUUCUUCUCUUGCAUUAGGGAGCAGACCGUCCACGUCAAGCCACCGCCGGACACACGCUCAUUCCCCGAAACAACCAACGUCUGCAUCCCCAGCCCUGAGACAUCCAUCCCCGGUCCUGGGAGAGCUGUGAGGCCAGUCACACCGCCUGAGACCGACGUGACGGCAGUUCCUGGCACAGCCGAUGCGACGAAGCCAAUGUGAACGUGCUUUUCGAUGUCCGGUAGAGGGACGCAAAAGACAAUAGAGGAUGCAUGAUCGAUACCAAAUGUCAUAAUGUAUGAAGACAUUAGCCAGAGGACCACCCUUUGACCAAAUUGUUUGAUUGUCUGGAUCCAUCAUAUGUCCUAACUACAAGGACAGUAACGACAAAACAAUUGAGCAUACAGAACGACAGUCAUUGUAACAUUGUAGUAGUUCAAUUGUAUUGUCCCUUAUUUUAUUACACUGGGCUUCUCCAGUAGCCAGGCUUUGAGACUGGAGAAUGAUAGACAGUCUAUAUUGUAAUCGAAACUGAUUGCUGUUAUUUGGUACAUCCAGUUAUCAAACUAACGAGUACAACGGCCAUAUAAGAUUUGUUCAAUGAUUCACUGCUAUACAAUAAUCUCUUAAAUACAAGGGAGGCAUGUAUGGUAUUUAUAGCAGGACAUCUGCAUAGUUUUUGUACAAUAUCCAAUGAUCAUAUGCAACAGGAGUUCCCUGGCUGUACAGCUGUAAUAGAUGACCUAGUACAGGUGUCUCCCACUGCAAGGUCAGAGGUCAAGUCUAAAAGUCUU